AAAAAAAUUAAAAAUAAAGUGGUUGAUUGAACUGGUAGAGACAGGCAAAUGAAGAGGCGAAAGACAUGAAAUGAUAAUUUUAACAAAAUCUAAGAAUGCGGGGCAAUGCAAUGAUGUGUGAAUGUUGAGGCGGUGAUAGUGGACAACCACCACCUUUCUCUUUCACUAAAACAGAAUACCACUUACAGUCGUUCAAAUCUCAUUCUAACAAUCGCCAUUCGAAAUUAUGCAUGAUUUCAUACAGCAACAUGGCCACCCAAUACAUUCUUCUUAGCAGCGGGCCAUUACCAGAAAGAGAAAAAUAUAAAGCAAGAAUGUCACCGCUUGUUUUGAAAUGAUACUUGGCAAUGCUCAACAGUGGAAAUGGCUGUUUGGCAAGAACCUUCCAGUGCUACACUCCAAUCAGCUCAGUGUAAAGUGGGAUGCUGACCUUCAUUUAUCAUCCACCUCCAAAUCAAAGAAUCCGAACAAGGGAGAUUGUUUUUCAAAGAGUAGAUCAUUGUCGUGUUUCUCACCAACAAUGGUCAAAUCCAAUGAGCCUGAAGACGCUGCAACAUCUGAGUUGCAGACUUCAUCUAUAUCUGGCCCUCCACAGAAUAAUGAGCUUGAAUUAUCUAUUGAUGAUGUUCAUGCAGUGGAAUUGAAUGCAGCUACGGGCAGUCGCAUUGAUGCACAGGUUGUAAGUUUACAGGCAUCUUUAGGAACAUCUAUGUAUAUGACAGAAGCAGAUUCUGCCUGUAGCGAUGAGUCUGGAGAACUAAACCUUGAAGGAAGGCCUUUGAAGAAGAUCAAGUCAUGUGCAUUGAAGUUGGAUACCAAGGGAAAUAAUAAAGGCUUUGAGAAUGAGCAUUUGCAAUUGAAGUGUCCCUCUCAAAGAAUUGGAGAUGGUGCCACAGUCGUUGGUUCAAAUAAUUUGGCUUUGUCUUCUGAUAAGGACAUGUCUUGGGCUCACACAAGAAUCCCUGUGGAUUGGAAGCAGGCAAGAUCAUGGCAAUCAGUGUCUGGGCAUUGUUUAACAUUAUCUGGACCAUCGUUGUCACAGCAACUGACAUAUGGGAAUUUUAGCCAAGUUGGUCAACGCAAUUCUCAUCUCGAGCAGUCAGCAUCACUUCCCUAUCUAUUCUCUAUGUCAAAAUCUAAGGAUAGUACUGAUUUUACUGUGGGAACUAAUCCUUUCCCUGGUAGAGAAGCCUUGGAAAGGCCAUAUUUUCAUGGGAGGCCUAGUUAUUUUGAUAGCAACUGCAAAUCAAGUGAUGAGUCAAUGUUGCACUCUAUUAAUACAGACAUUCAUAUCAGGGAUGAAACAGUUCCAAUCUCAACAGGUUUGCCAUAUGGAAAUAUUUCAGAGCCAGUGACAUUAUAUGAUAAUGGAGCAUUUAAACUAGAUCAUUCGCCUAUUCAACUUGGGAGCACAAAGUUGGCUGAGUGGCAUAUGCCUUUAUCAAAAACUGGGCAGCAUAUUCCAAGAACAGAUUUUCCCAAUAUUAUAUUUCCAGAAAAUGUGACCAUAGAUUUGCAUCCUUCCUGCUCCAUUGAAGGAAACCUGGCACAAGAUUCGAGGUUGUCACAAAGAGGGACAGAAAUUGUCUCUAAUCCCACUACAAUCUUUGGUAUAUCACUGGCACCUAUGUUAUCAACCAUUCAAUCAAAUGCACCUAUACCAGAGAUUCCCUUUGAAAUGCAAUCCAAAUCUGAAAUGGUCCUACAGAACCUACAAGCUUCGUCAUAUUCAGUUACUUGUACCCCUUUCCUCUCUUCUAUGAAACCCAAUGACAAUUUGUUGUAUAAUUCUGGUCCUCCAACCAGCCACUUUGAUUUUGUCCAUUCCUUACAUCAAAAAUCAUCCACUGAUUCUAGCUUUCAAGAUAGAGGACAACAGCCUGGUACUAGCAACAUGUUGAAUACUGCCAAGGACUUCCCAAGCUUGAUUUCAGACCUGAACUUGUCACUACUAUUGCAUAGCAAAGGUCCUUCAAGUAGCUUAACACCAGAAAAUUUUCCUUCUGCUAACAAUUUUUUUGUUGCCACACAAGAAAUGGGCUUAAACCUUUCAGAGCUGUCACAUUCAUCUCCAAACUUCUGUGGCCCCACAGUUGACGCGGAUGAAAAUGCAGUUCCUCCAUCCAUACCUGUGGUGAUAGAAGGAAGAUCUACAGGAGGAAAGGUGUGCCUUCAGAAAUUGGAUGGAUAUGAAAGUUUUGCUCUCACCUUAUCUGACAUGUUUAAGAACAAUGUUGUGGGAGACAACAUGGUUCCUUCUCCAGACAAUUGCAUUCUUUCUAAUGCAAUUCCAGGUUUUGUUAUUGCAUUUGAAGAUGCAGAGGGUGAUCUUCUUCUCGCUGGUGAUCUUUCAUGGAGGCCUCAACAGGACUAUUCCAUGUUGUUCUGGGAGAAAUUACUGGUCUGUGAUGCUUGUACAAAAUUACCUGUAAAUUUGUCUGGAUUGGUAUAAGCCUUAAAAGCUAAAUGUGAUGGUCUUGAAUUAACUUCAAAGUAUACAGGGAUUUUGUUCGUGUAGCAAGGCGUAUUAGAGUGGUACCUGCAAAGAAAAACAAAACAGAAGGAGGUGCAUGAAAAUUCAAUGAAGACCAUAGUUCAUGAAAAUUUGUUAAAAAAUCUCUUUACAGAUGUUAUCAAUCAGCUGACUCAAUAGUUUUUGGUUGCAAUGACUGGAAAUUGCAACAGAAAUGUAUAGAUCUCUAGCAGUUUGAAGCUGGCCAUUAAGAUAUUACAUUUAAAUUUUUUUUUUUUCAAUUUCAGUCUCCAAUGUUCAGAAAUCUCUCAAUGGCACUUCCAUUCAUGCAUUAAAUAAAGAUUGAAGCAACUAGAGUGGUUAUUUGUGUCAUGCUAGAAGCAUGAGUAAUAUGAUCAACAAAGGGAACAUGUGGAAGAUAUGGCUGUUAUAUUACCAA
RNA transcript from Cryptomeria japonica (Japanese cedar), 2912 nucleotides. RefSeq lists it as uncharacterized. The transcript is spliced from 5 exons. The record is from RefSeq and is a predicted model, not a curated record. NCBI's taxonomy places the organism in Eukaryota, Viridiplantae, Streptophyta, Pinopsida, Cupressales, Cupressaceae.